Molecule: long non-coding RNA, 1716 nt
Filed under: Triticum aestivum (bread wheat)
Lineage: Eukaryota; Viridiplantae; Streptophyta; Magnoliopsida; Poales; Poaceae
Description: long non-coding RNA (TAES_LNC009747)
Source: RNAcentral
UCCAUCACCCGAACCGACUCCGUCGUCGACAAUCCCAUCAACCAUCCCACCUUUUAUAUACGCCUUUCCCCUCGAUUGCCCCGUCCUCUCCUGCUCCCAUCGCCCGUCGCAGCCUCGUCUUUGUUUCGUCGCGACACAAUCGUGAGGUGCCCCCUAAUCUUGUUCCUCCUCUUCCUUUUCGAUUUACACAAGUUAGAAUCCAGGUUAUAAUUUUGUGAUUUCGUAGGUAUACUAUAUGUUUUGCGUGGUCUGUUCUCUUUGAUUCAGGAUGUCUGAAGAGGUCGUUCCGAUUUGCCUCAUCAGUACAUGUCUAUCCCUUAAGCCAAGUCCGUGAUGGCCGAAUCAGUCGUUGAUGGGUCAGAUUUUCUGGCGGUUCGUGUCUAUCCCUUAAGCCAAGUUGUGUAGGUAUAAUUUUGCUUGUUAGCAAGGCUAGAUCUAGAUCCAUACAUGUUUGGCUCCUUUGUUACUUUCACAAAUUCCCUAAUUCCUUUUCAUGCACGAGCCAAUAUAUUCUCUAGAUAAGUUAGACGGUUUGUGUGUUCUCUUUGAUCCAGGAUGUUGUGUCAUCCGAAGAGGUAGUUCCUGUGCCUCUCAAGUAGAUGUCUAUCGCUGAUCCAAGUUCGUCUGAGAUUUUCUGACGACCCGCUUGUGACGCCUGAAUCAGUUGAUGCGUCAGAUUCGUCAGUUUAUGUUGUAUCCGGGCACACCAACGGUUCAUCUUCAUCGUCUGCUCGAAGAAGGCUCUUAGGUGCUUGCUGCGGUCCACAAGGUGCCCGAGGACAUCCGAUUUAUGGUUCAUGUUCGUGGUUCCUUUAGCUAACCAGAUGAUGCUUUGCCCGUCUCCAAACAUCACAGGAAGGUAAUUGUGUUGGUAAGCUGAUUGGCGCGCAUGUGUGUACGUGCGUGCCUAUUGUAUUAUUGCCUGUUGUAUUACAUUGGUAGCAUAGGACGGCCUUUGCCAUGUCGGGUGCGCUCGCUUGGCAGGCCACGAGACAAUAAAAGGAAUAUUUUGCUGGUGUCCACGGGGUGGAGAUCGCACGGGAACUAUCAAUUUCUUCUAUUUUGCCCGGGUUCUCCACCCUGCCAUGGUGUCUCUGUCCUUCUCCUUUCAUGUGCUGUUGAUUCUGCGAUAUCCUCGUGGUACACCACGAUCCUACAUUAGUAACAAAUAUAUCGAUAGCCCUGAGUGCCGUGAUAACUACGUACUGAAGAUCAAUGAUAACUGAAUUCUGAAGAUCAGUGACAACUACAAAACCAAGGUACAUCUAGCUGCUUCCAUCAGGCAAGCACUUCGUUAUAUCAAUUUAAAUUUGCAUGUGAACGUCACCCCGGCGCAAAACAUAACCAUACUGAACAACUGCAUUUUGGUUUGAUACAAGAUCGAUUCAUACCUGUAAAUCUUGUGCUCUUGCACCGCGCCAGCACGAUAGUACUGAAAUACCCAUGAGAUAUCAUUAGAAUUCUUUUUCAAUGCAAUGUCUUCUGUUAGAAAAAAAGCGUUGUUAACUUUUUGUAGCACAAGCUUUUCCAGAAUUUUUGGUUACUUUGCAUAUUUUCGUCGAUGGUCGUCCAGUUGAAGAAGGCUCUGCCCACAAGGCCUGGGAGGGAACUGGUCAUCCGAUUUAUACUUAAUGUUUGCUGAUCAAAUCCAGAUGACGUUCGUGGUUCCUUUUGCUGACAAGAUGAUGCUUGUCUGUCCCCAAACAUUACAUAAAG